CCCACCUGCCGGCCCGGUUGGACUGAACGAGGUUUAGUGAGAAGGACGAAAUCUGAAGAAGAGAACAGCAGUGGGAAUCUGGCACCCUACCAACACCCGUGGAUCACAAAUUAACAGAAUUCAUCAUCAAUCCAAUUAUCUGGAUAAUAGAAGACGAAUAGGUAUGGAACGCAACAGAGCCAUGGCUUGGGAAGUGUUUCGGAUCACUGUUGCUCAGAAUCAGCACUGACCUGGCACCCACUCCGAAGUCCAACCCCUUUCUCCAGCACCCUAAAGGACCCUCGUCUCCCAAACAACUGCUUUAUCCUCCAUUUCACCUUCACUCAGCACUCCGAGUCUUCAUCGAGUUUCUAAAAAAAUUUCCUUUAGUCAUUAAGGGUGUUUUACCUUCCAGAUUGUUGGAUAUAAUCCACUUUGUCUCAUA
Molecule: long non-coding RNA, 424 nt
Organism: Archocentrus centrarchus (flier cichlid)
Lineage: Eukaryota; Metazoa; Chordata; Actinopteri; Cichliformes; Cichlidae
Exons: 3
Source: RefSeq, a predicted model, not a curated record